RNAcentral lists this ribosomal RNA (254 nucleotides) under uncultured bacterium. RNAcentral describes it as "partial 16S ribosomal RNA". It matches the Rfam family "Bacterial small subunit ribosomal RNA", at positions 524 to 776 of the family's 1533-position model. The record is from RNAcentral.
UACGAAGGGAGCUAGCGUUGUUCGGAAUCACUGGGCGUAAAGCGCACGUAGGCGGAUGUGUCAGUCAGGGGUGAAAUCCCGGAGCUCAACUUCGGAACUGCCUUUGAUACAGCACGUCUUGAGUCCGAUAGAGGUGGGUGGAAUUCCUAGUGUAGAGGUGAAAUUCGUAGAUAUUAGGAAGAACACCGAUUGCGAAGGCAGCUUACUAGACUGUAACCUGACGCUGAGGCACGAAAGCGUGGGGAGCGAACAGG